Molecule: ribosomal RNA, 789 nt
Filed under: uncultured Methanomicrobiales archaeon
Lineage: Archaea; Methanobacteriati; Methanobacteriota; Methanomicrobia; Methanomicrobiales
Description: bacterial SSU rRNA
Rfam family: Archaeal small subunit ribosomal RNA
Source: RNAcentral
ACUGCUCAGUAACACGUGGACAACCUACCCUAAGGAGGGGGAUAACCCCGGGAAACUGGGGAUAAUACCCCAUAGACUAGAGAAGCUGGAAUGCUCUCAAGUCCAAAGGUCCGCCGCCUUAGGAUGGGACUGCGGUCGAUUAGGUUGUUGUUGGGGUAACGGCCCAACAAGCCCGUGAUCGAUACGGGUUGUGAGAGCAAGAGCCCGGAGAUGGAUUCUGAGACACGAAUCCAGGCCCUACGGGGCGCAGCAGGCGCGAAAACUUUACAAUGCGGGAAACCGUGAUAAGGGAACCCCGAGUGCCCGUAAAUUCGGGCUGUCCAUCAGCGUAAAUAACUGGUGAAGAAAGGGCCGGGCAAGACCGGUGCCAGCCGCCGCGGUAAUACCGGCGGCUCGAGUGGUGGCCACUAUUAUUGGGCUUAAAGCGUCCGUAGCUUGGUUGUUAAGUCUCUUGGGAAAUCUACCGGCUCAACCGGUAGGCGUUCAGGAGAUACUGGCAAUCUAGGGACCGGGAGAGGUGAGAGGUACUCCAGGGGUAGGAGUGAAAUCCUGUAAUCCUUGGGGGACCACCUGCGGCGAAGGCGUCUCACUAGAACGGCUCCGACAGUGAGGGACGAAAGCUGGGGGAGCAAACCGGAUUAGAUACCCGGGUAGUCCCAGCUGUAAACGAUGCGCGUUAGGUGUAUCGGUGACCACGAGUCACCGAGGUGCCGAAGGGAAACCGUGAAACGUGCCGCCUGGGAAGUACGGUCGCAAGGCUGAAACUUAAAGGAAUUGGCGGGGGAGCAC